AGGGUCUUAGCGGUCGAGUGG
This 21-nucleotide microRNA is filed under the name Plutella xylostella (diamondback moth). RNAcentral's name for it is "pxy-miR-193". Its record names the gene pxy-miR-193. Lineage: Eukaryota; Metazoa; Arthropoda; Insecta; Lepidoptera; Plutellidae. The record is from miRBase by way of RNAcentral.